AAAGUCCCUGUCGGGAAAGGACUAGCCAUCCACCCGUAUCGAGUCUUGCGCGUGUGGCGGAGUCGUGAAGCAAAGCGGCGAACAAGACAUGUGAAGCGUAGACAGAGAAUCCUGUAGGCCGCAGGGGAGACCGCGCUCCCUUAAGUGCUGGUACAGCUUCGAAAUAGGGAGUUGUUGCGGAUGCCGAGGGUGUCAACGGUCCCGAAGGCAACACUAAGUCACCCGAAAUGGCGAGGGUGACAAGAUCCGCCGGAGUCCACAGGCCG
Molecule: non-coding RNA, 266 nt
Organism: Geobacter sp. M18
Lineage: Bacteria; Pseudomonadati; Thermodesulfobacteriota; Desulfuromonadia; Geobacterales; Geobacteraceae
Source: Rfam